Molecule: ribosomal RNA, 856 nt
Filed under: uncultured bacterium
Lineage: Bacteria
Description: bacterial SSU rRNA
Rfam family: Bacterial small subunit ribosomal RNA
Source: RNAcentral
CCUUAGAGUUUGAUCCUGGCUCAGGACGAACGCUGGCGGCGUGCCUAACACAUGCAAGUCGAGCGGGGAACUGCGGAAUGAGAUUUCGGUCGAAUGAAACAGUUUCUAGCGGCGGACGGGUGAGUAACGCGUGAGCAACCUGCCUAUCACUGGGGAAUAACGCAUCGAAAGGUGUGCUAAUACCGCAUGAGACCACAAGAUCGCAUGGUCAAGGGGUCAAAGAUUUAUCGGUGAUAGAUGGGCUCGCGUCUGAUUAGCUAGUUGGUGAGGUAACGGCCCACCAAGGCGACGAUCAGUAGCCGACCUGAGAGGGUGAUCGGCCACAUUGGAACUGAGAAACGGUCCAAACUCCUACGGGAGGCAGCAGUGGGGAAUAUUGGGCAAUGGGCGCAAGCCUGACCCAGCAACGCCGCGUGAAGGAAGAAGGUCUUCGGAUCGUAAACUUCUAUCCUUGGUGAAGAUAAUGACGGUAGCCGAGAAGGAAGCCCCGGCUAACUACGUGCCAGCAGCCGCGGUAAUACGUAGGGGGCAAGCGUUGUCCGGAAUGAUUGGGCGUAAAGGGCGCGUAGGCGGCCUGUUAAGUCUGGAGUGAAAGUCCUGCUUUUAAGGUGGGAACUGCUUUGGAUACUGAUGGGCUUGAGUGCAGGAGAGGUAAGCGGAAUUCCCGGUGUAGCGGUGAAAUGCGUAGAGAUCGGGAGGAACACCAGUGGCGAAGGCGGCUUACUGGACUGUAACUGACGCUGAGGCGCGAAAGUGUGGGGAGCAAACAGGAUUAGAUACCCUGGUAGUCCACACUGUAAACGAUGAAUGCUAGGUGUAGGGGUAUCGACCCCUUCUGUGCCGGAGUAAACACAAU